Molecule: ribosomal RNA, 579 nt
Filed under: uncultured Actinomycetes bacterium
Lineage: Bacteria; Bacillati; Actinomycetota; Actinomycetes
Description: bacterial SSU rRNA
Rfam family: Bacterial small subunit ribosomal RNA
Source: RNAcentral
GUAGUCCAUGCCGUAAACGUUGGGCACUAGGUGUGGGGGACAUUCCACGUUUUCCGCGCCGUAGCUAACGCAUUAAGUGCCCCGCCUGGGGAGUACGGCCGCAAGGCUAAAACUCAAAGGAAUUGACGGGGGCCCGCACAAGCGGCGGAGCAUGCGGAUUAAUUCGAUGCAACGCGAAGAACCUUACCAAGGCUUGACAUGGACCGGACCGCCGCAGAAAUGUGGUUUCCCCUUUGGGGCCGGUUCACAGGUGGUGCAUGGUUGUCGUCAGCUCGUGUCGUGAGAUGUUGGGUUAAGUCCCGCAACGAGCGCAACCCUCGCCUCUAGUUGCCAUCAUUUGGUUGGGCACUCUAGAGGGACUGCCGGUGAUAAGCCGAGAGGAAGGUGGGGAUGACGUCAAGUCCUCAUGGCCCUUACGGGCUGGGCUACACACGUGCUACAAUGGCGGUGACAAUGGGCAGCUAACCCGCGAGGGUGAGCUAAUCUCCAAAAGCCGUCUCAGUUCGGAUUGCACUCUGCAACUCGAGUGCAUGAAGUUGGAAUCGCUAGUAAUCGUGGAUCAGAACGCCACGGUGAAUA